GACAGAGGGUGCAAACGUUGUUCGGAAUUACUGGGCGUAAAGCGAGUGUAGGCGGUUUGGUAAGUCGGAUGUGAAAGCCCCGGGCUCAACCCGGGAAGUGCACUCGAUACUGCCAAGCUAGAGUAUCGGAGAGGUUGGUGGAAUUCUCGGUGUAGAGGUGAAAAUUCGUAGAUAUCGAGAGGAACACCGGUGGCGAAGGCGGCCAACUGGACGAAUACUGACGCUGAGACUCGAAAGCGUGGGGGAGCAAACAGG
Molecule: ribosomal RNA, 255 nt
Filed under: uncultured bacterium
Lineage: Bacteria
Description: partial 16S ribosomal RNA
Rfam family: Bacterial small subunit ribosomal RNA
Source: RNAcentral